UAAAAUAAUAAUUUAAUUUUAAUUUUUAUUUUUAAGGAAAAAUCUUUAGUCUAAUUUAAGUAUUUUAUAAAGAAAAAAAAUUGAGUAAUUAUAUAUUUAACUGUAAAGGAUUUUAUCUUUUUGUAUAUUAGAAAUUUUAAUUAAGUGUACCUUUUGUAUCAGGGUUUAUCAAUUUAACUUUAAUUAAUUUAAUUUUCCCGAAAGUUAAGGAUUUAUGUAAAAAUGUUUAAAUAAGUAUUAAAUUAUUAAUAAAUUUUUAUAUAGUGGUUAUAUGCUUUUCAACUUAAUUAUAUCUGGUUUUUUCUAAAUUAAUUUAAUUUAUGUUAAAGUUUUAUGUUUAAUCUUAUGUUUUAUUUUUAAUAACUUUAACUAAAUAUUAGGGGGAUAAGCUCUUAAUAAUUUUUAUAAUUUUCUUUUCUUCCAACAUUUGAAUUAGGAUUAAAAUUGUCUUAUAUUUUUUAUAAAAAUAAUUGUUUAGAAGUCUAAUUUUUUUUAAUUUAAAAUUUUAGUUAAAAUUUUUAAAGAAUAUCUUUUUAAAAGGGAUAAUGAUAGAAUUAGUAAUAUUAAAUAACUAAUUUAAGAAUUCGGCAAAUUUUGUUCUCGAAUGUUUAAUAAAAACAUUUCUUUAUGCUUUAAAAUAUAAAGUAUAACCUGCUCAAUGAAUAUUUUAAAUAGCCGCGAUUAAAUCGUGCGAAGGUAGCAUAAUAAUUUGUCUUUUAAUUAAGGUCUUGAAUGAAGGGUUGAACGAGGGACAGACUUUUUUAAUUAGUUUUUUUUUAAUUUUAUUUUUUAGUUAAAAAGCUAAAAUAAAUUUAUGGGACGAUAAGACCCUAUAGAAUUUUAUUAAAAUGAAUAUUUCAUUAAAGUAUUAUGUUUGCUUUUUAAAUAUAAAUUUUAAUUGGGUUGGGGCGAUUGUUAAAAUGAACUAACUUUAACUUUUAUUUUGUCAUCAAUUAAUGAUUUUUUGACCCUGAGAUUCAGGUUAAUAAAAUAAAUUACCUUAGGGAUAACAGCGUUAUUUUCUUGGAGAGUUCACAUUAAUAGGAAAGUUUGCGACCUCGAUGUUGGAUUAAAAUUAAUCUAUGGUGAAGUAGCUUUAGAUUUAAGUCUGUUCGACUUUUAAAAUUUUACAUGAUCUGAGUUAAGACCGGCGUGAGCCAGGUUGGUUUCUAUCUAUAAUUUGAGUUUAAUAUCUUAGUACGAAAGGACCAGAUAAUACAAAUAAUUUGU
RNAcentral lists this ribosomal RNA (1230 nucleotides) under Cysteochila lineata. Its description in RNAcentral is "16S ribosomal RNA". The stretch from base 813 to 1179 matches the Rfam family "Archaeal large subunit ribosomal RNA", at positions 2150 to 2716 of the family's 2987-position model. The record is from RNAcentral. Lineage: Eukaryota; Metazoa; Arthropoda; Insecta; Hemiptera; Tingidae.